UCCUACGGGAGGCAGCAGUGGGGAAUAUUGGGCAAUGGGCGCAAGCCUGACCCAGCAAUGCCGCGUGAAGGAAGAAGGCCCUCGGGUUGUAAACUUCUUUUAUCAGGGGCGAAGGAUGUGACGGUACCUGAUGAAUAAGCUCCGGCUAACUACGUGCCAGCAGCCGCGGUAAUACAUAGGGGGCAAGCGUUAUCCGGAAUUAUUGGGUGUAAAGGGUGCGUAGACGGAAGAACAAGUUGGUUGUGAAAUCCCUCGGCUCAACUGAGGAACUGCAACCAAAACUAUUCUCCUUGAGUGUCGGAGAG
This 305-nucleotide ribosomal RNA is filed under the name uncultured bacterium. RNAcentral's name for it is "bacterial SSU rRNA". It matches the Rfam family "Bacterial small subunit ribosomal RNA", at positions 337 to 656 of the family's 1533-position model. The record is from RNAcentral.